This 1091-nucleotide ribosomal RNA is filed under the name Streptomyces sp. Its description in RNAcentral is "bacterial SSU rRNA". It matches the Rfam family "Bacterial small subunit ribosomal RNA", at positions 262 to 1350 of the family's 1533-position model. The record is from RNAcentral. Lineage: Bacteria; Bacillati; Actinomycetota; Actinomycetes; Kitasatosporales; Streptomycetaceae.
AUCUGACUACAGGCGAGACGGGUACGGCCUGAGAGGGCGACGGCCACUCUGGGCUGAGACACGGCCCAGAUUCCAACGGGAGGCAGCAGUGGGGAAUAUUGCACAAUGGCGAAAGUCCUGAUGCAGCGACGCCGCGUGAGGGAUGACGGCCUUCGGGUUGUAAACCUCUUUCAGCAGGGAAGAAGCGAGAGUGACGGUACCUGCAGAAGAAGCGCCGGCUAACUACGUGCCAGCAGCCGCGGUAAUACGUAGGGCGCAAGCGUUGUCCGGAAUUAUUGGGCGUAAAGAGCUCGUAGGCGGCUUGUUGCGUCGGUUGUGAAAGCCCGGGGCUUAACCCCGGGUCUGCAGUCGAUACGGGCAGGCUAGAGUGUGGUAGGGGAGAUCGGAAUUCCUGGUGUAGCGGUGAAAUGCGCAGAUAUCAGGAGGAACACCGGUGGCGAAGGCGGAUCUCUGGGCCAUUACUUACGCUGAGAGCGAAAGCGUGGGGAGCGAACAGGAUUAGAUACCCUGGUAGUCCACGCCGUAAAACGUUGGGAAACUAAGGUGUUGGCGACAUUCCACGUCGUUCGGUGCCCGCAGCUAACGGCAUUAAGUUCCCCGCCUGGGGAGUACGGCCGCAAGGGCUUAAAACUCAAAGGAAUUGACGGGGGCCCCGCACAAAGCAGCGGAGCAUGUGGGUUUAAUUCGACGCAACGCGAAGAACCUUACCAAGGGCUUGACAUAUACCGGAAAGCAUCAGAGAUGGGUGCCCCCCUUGUGGUCGGUAUACAGGUGGUGCAUGGCUGUCGUCAGCUCGUGUCGUGAGAUGUUGGGUUAAGUCCCGCAACGAGCGCAACCCUUGUUCUGUGUUGCCAGCAUGCCCUUCGGGGUGAUGGGGACUCACAGGAGACUGCCGGGGUCAACUCGGAGGAAGGUGGGGACGACGUCAAGUCAUCAUGCCCCUUAUGUCUUGGGCUGCACACGUGCUACAAUGGCCGGUACAAUGAGCUGCGAUGCCGCGAGGCGGAGCGAAUCUCAAAAAGCCGGUCUCAGUUCGGAUUGGGGUCUGCAACUCGACCCCAUGAAGUCGGAGUUGCUAUUAAUCGCAGAUC